Long non-coding RNA from Echinops telfairi (small Madagascar hedgehog), 672 nucleotides. RefSeq lists it as uncharacterized. NCBI's taxonomy places the organism in Eukaryota, Metazoa, Chordata, Mammalia, Afrosoricida, Tenrecidae. The transcript has 2 exons. The record is from RefSeq and is a predicted model, not a curated record.
GAAUAAGGAAGACCGAAGAACCGAUGCAUGUCAACGAUGGUGCUGAAAGUACCGUGGCCUGCCAAAGGACCAAACAUCUGUCUCGGAAGAGUCCCACCCAGAAUGCGCCUCAGAGGCAAGGAUGUGAGCCAAGCUGGAUCCCUGCCAUCUGUGAUGCCCACCUGGAAGACUAACGUGGAGCAGCUGUGUCUAUGCCUCUUUCCCUCUGCCCCCAAUUCAGGACGGGACACCCCUUGCCAGGGACGCCCUCUCUGUUCCAGACGCAGGGUCUGCAAAGGGUGAGGCUGCAGAAUAUAGUUGGGUGGACCGAGUGACUAUCCACAGUGGGCAGGGCUUGUGCCAUUGUUUGUUCCUGGUGGUACCAACGGUAAAUGCCCUGGAUUUCAAGAGGUUGGCGGUUUGAAUCCACUCAGCAGUGCCAUGGAAGCAAGCCCCGGAGAUCUGCUUCCUUAGAAGUUACUGCCGAGGAAGCCGGAUGGAGUUUCGAUCUGAAUGGCUGCCCUGCAGCCGGCUUGGUCUUGUGCCUCAUCUUUUGGGCGCCCAGUGUUUCUGACUUCCUGCUAGCUUUGGUCUGGUUGGGGAGGGGGGGGUGUCACUGGAGCUUUUGGGACCCAGGACAUGUUCAUCUUUUCCUGCGUAGUGCUGGGCUUAUAAAGGGGAGUAGUCUUCUAA